GUUCCAAUCCAGGGACAUCCUAUAAAAUUGGGACGAUAUAGAGAAGAUUAGCAUGGCCCUUGCGCAAGAAUGACACGCACAAAUCGAGAAAUGGUCUCAGAGCAG
Ricinus communis (castor bean) is the source of this 105-nucleotide small nuclear RNA. The record is from RefSeq and is a predicted model, not a curated record. NCBI's taxonomy places the organism in Eukaryota, Viridiplantae, Streptophyta, Magnoliopsida, Malpighiales, Euphorbiaceae.